GACAGAGGGGCAAGCGUUGCUCGGAAUCACUGGGCGUAAAGGGCGCGUAGGCGGGAUGGCAAGUCGGUCGUGAAAUCCCUCGGCUCAACCGAGGAACGUCGGCCGAUACUGCCGUUCUUGAGGGAUGCAGAGGAGACUGGAAUUCCCGGUGUAGCGGUGAAAUGUGUAGAGAUCGGGAGGAACACCGGUGGCGAAGGCGGGUCUCUGGGCAUUCCCUGACGCUGAGGCGCGAAAGCUAGGGGAGCGAACA
Molecule: ribosomal RNA, 250 nt
Filed under: uncultured prokaryote
Description: partial 16S ribosomal RNA
Rfam family: Bacterial small subunit ribosomal RNA
Source: RNAcentral